This 449-nucleotide ribosomal RNA is filed under the name uncultured bacterium. RNAcentral's name for it is "partial 16S ribosomal RNA". It matches the Rfam family "Bacterial small subunit ribosomal RNA", at positions 28 to 523 of the family's 1533-position model. The record is from RNAcentral.
GACGAACGCUGGCGGCAUGCCUAACACAUGCAAGUCGAACGAAGCCUUCGGGCUUAGUGGCGCACGGGUGCGUAACGCGUGGGAAUCUGCCCUUGGGUCCGGAAUAACAGUUAGAAAUGACUGCUAAUACCGGAUGAUGUCUUCGGACCAAAGAUUUAUCGCCCAAGGAUAAGCCCGCGUAGGAUUAGGUAGUUGGUGGGGUAAUGGCCCACCAAGCCGACGAUCCUUAGCUGGUCUGAGAGGAUGAUCAGCCACACUGGGACUGAGACACGGCCCAGACUCCUACGGGAGGCAGCAGUGGGGAAUAUUGGACAAUGGGCGAAAGCCUGAUCCAGCAAUGCCGCGUGAGUGAUGAAGGCCUUAGGGUUGUAAAGCUCUUUUACCAGGGAUGAUAAUGACAGUACCUGGAGAAUAAGCUCCGGCUAACUCCGUGCCAGCCGCCGCCGUAA